RNAcentral lists this transfer RNA (73 nucleotides) under Sus scrofa (pig). It matches the Rfam family "tRNA". Rfam says of the family: Transfer RNA (tRNA) molecules are approximately 80 nucleotides in length. Their secondary structure includes four short double-helical elements and three loops (D, anti-codon, and T loops). Lineage: Eukaryota; Metazoa; Chordata; Mammalia; Artiodactyla; Suidae. The record is from Rfam by way of RNAcentral.
UCCCUGGUGGCCUACUGGUUAAGGAUUCAGCAUUGUCACUGCUGUGGUGCAGGUUCAAUCCCUGGCCCAGGAA